UCCGGUUUAACACCGGCAGUCUCGUUAGAGUGCCCGGCCGAACCGCUGGCAACUAACGACAAGGGUUGCGCUCGUUGCGGGACUUAACCCAACAUCUCACGACACGAGCUGACGACAGCCAUGCAGCACCUGUGUUCCAGCUCCCUUUCGGGCACACUCAAAUCUCUAAGAGCUUCUGGACAUGUCAAGGGUAGGUAAGGUUUUUCGCGUUGCAUCGAAUUAAUCCACAUCAUCCACCGCCUGUGCGGGUCCCCGUCAAUUCCUUUGAGUUUUAACCUUGCGGCCGUACUCCCCAGGCGGUCAACUUCACGCGUUAGCUUCGUUACUGAACAGCAAGCCGUCCAACAACCAGUUGACAUCGUUUAGGGCGUGGACUAC
RNAcentral lists this unclassified non-coding RNA (378 nucleotides) under uncultured Gammaproteobacteria bacterium. Its description in RNAcentral is "contains 16S-23S intergenic spacer region". The record is from RNAcentral. Lineage: Bacteria; Pseudomonadati; Pseudomonadota; Gammaproteobacteria.